UACAGAGGGCCCAAGCGUUGUUCGGAUUCACUGGGCGUAAAGGGUGCGUAGGUGGUCAGGUAAGUCUGAUGUGAAAGCUCUGGGCUCAACCCAGAAAUGGCAUUGGAUACUAUCUGGCUAGAGGAAUGGAGGGGGGACUGGAAUACUUGGUGUAGCAGUGAAAUGCGUAGAUAUCAAGUGGAACACCAGUGGCGAAGGCGAGUCUCUGGACAUUUCCUGACGCUGAGGCACGAAAGCCAGGGGAGCAAACGGG
Molecule: ribosomal RNA, 253 nt
Filed under: uncultured bacterium
Lineage: Bacteria
Description: partial 16S ribosomal RNA
Rfam family: Bacterial small subunit ribosomal RNA
Source: RNAcentral